This 448-nucleotide small RNA is filed under the name Histoplasma capsulatum var. duboisii H88. RNAcentral describes it as "Histoplasma capsulatum H88 hypothetical RNA". Lineage: Eukaryota; Fungi; Ascomycota; Eurotiomycetes; Onygenales; Ajellomycetaceae. The record is from RNAcentral.
AUGUCACCAAUUCCUAACUACAUAACUACUAAAAUUAAAAAACAUCUCAUUUGCUGGUAUCAUCUAUUGGAAAUCACCCACACUUCUACCCCCAGGUCAAAUCCUCCUUGAUCUCCCAAAUCAAGUUUCUUGUAUAGAGAUCCUCAUCCCCAGCACUCCCAUCAACCACAUCACUGAACCAGCAAAUCUCAGUGGAGGUUUGUGGAUUUUCCACCAUGAUCUGAAAGGCACUGCUCAUCUGAUGUUUGAGAGUUGGGGUUUCAGAAUGUUCAGAAGCCUUGCAUUUGCCCUACAUAAUUGUCAACUUCUGUAUAAAUCUGGGGAUCAAUUUGCUGAUUCUAACUUACAUUUUCACCAAGAAUGUGAGGAGUUCCGGGGCUGCCCAUGGCCAGAGGACCAACCAGAGUCGGAAGAUCAGAGGAGAAGAGGGGGGGGGAGGAUCGGCGGC